Molecule: ribosomal RNA, 440 nt
Filed under: uncultured bacterium
Lineage: Bacteria
Description: partial 16S ribosomal RNA
Rfam family: Bacterial small subunit ribosomal RNA
Source: RNAcentral
CCUACGGGCGGCAGCAGUAGGGAAUAUUGCUCAAUGGGGGAAACCCUGAAGCAGCAACGCCGCGUGGAGGAUGAAGGUUUUAGGAUUGUAAACUCCUUUUGUUAGAGAAGAUUAUGACGGUAGCUAACGAAUAAGCACCGGCUAACUCCGUGCCAGCAGCCGCGGUAAUACGGAGGGUGCAAGCGUUACUCGGAUUCACUGGGCGUAAAGAGUGCGUAGGCGGGGUAUUAAGUCAGAUGUGAAAGCCUGUAGCUUAACUACAGAACUGCAUUUGAAACUGUUAAUCUUGAGUGUGGGAGAGGUAGGUGGAAUUCUUGGUGUAGGGGUAAAAUGCGUAGAGAUCACGAGGAAUACUCAUUGCGAAGGCGGCCUGCUGGAACAUUACUGACGCUGAUGCACGAAAGCGUGGGUAGCAAACAGGAUUAGAUACCCGUGUAGUC